CUCGCUGUGUGUCCUGGAAUUUUACUACAGCAGGUGGCAGGGGUAAUUGGUCUACUGAUGGUUGUAAUACAAGACUUAAUACUACUGAUGAUCUCAGUUUCAUAGCUUGCCAUUGUGAUCAUUUGACUAAUUUUGCUUGUCUUGUGGAUGUAUCUGCUAGAGUCAGUGAACCUACCCAACCUCCUCAAUAUGUCAAUGUUACACUAGAAGUUGUAUCAAUUGUUGGUGUGUGUCUCUCACUAGUGGGACU
This is a long non-coding RNA of Amphimedon queenslandica, 250 nucleotides long. RefSeq lists it as uncharacterized. The transcript has 3 exons. The record is from RefSeq and is a predicted model, not a curated record. NCBI's taxonomy places the organism in Eukaryota, Metazoa, Porifera, Demospongiae, Haplosclerida, Niphatidae.